GGGUUGUGAGGUUAAGCGACUAAGCGUACACGGUGGAUGCCCUGGCAGUCAGAGGCGAUGAAGGACGUGCUAAUCUGCGAAAAGCGUCGGUAAGGUGAUAUGAACCGUUAUAACCGGCGGUGUCCGAAUGGGGAAACCCAGUGCAAUUCGUUGCACUAUCGUUAACUGAAUACAUAGGUUAACGAGGCGAACCGGGGGAACUGAAACAUCUAAGUACCCCGAGGAAAAGAAAUCAACCGAGAUUCCCCCAGUAGCGGCGAGCGAACGGGGAGCAGCCCAGAGUCUGAAUCAGCUUGUGUGUUAGUGGAACGGUCUGGAAAGUCCGACGGUACAGGGUGAUAGUCCCGUACACCAAAAUGCACAGGCUGUGAACUCGAAGAGUAGGGCGGGACACGUGGUAUCCUGUCUGAAUAUGGGGGGACCAUCCUCCAAGGCUAAAUACUCCUGACUGACCGAUAGUGAACCAGUACCGUGAGGGAAAGGCGAAAAGAACCCCGGCGAGGGGAGUGAAAAAGAACCUGAAACCGUGUACGUACAAGCAGUGGGAGCACCUUCGGGUGUGACUGCGUACCUUUUGUAUAAUGGGUCAGCGACUUAUAUUCUGUAGCAAGGUUAACCGUAUAGGGGAGCCGCAGGGAAACCGAGUCUUAACUGGGCGUUAAGUUGCAGGGUAUAGACCCGAAACCCGGUGAUCUAGCCAUGGGCAGGUUGAAGGUUGGGUAACACUAACUGGAGGACCGAACCGACUAAUGUUGAAAAAUUAGCGGAUGACUUGUGGCUGGGGGUGAAAGGCCAAUCAAACCGGGAGAUAGCUGGUUCUCCCCGAAAGCUAUUUAGGUAGCGCCUCGUGAAUUCAUCUUCGGGGGUAGAGCACUGUUUCGGCUAGGGGGUCAUCCCGACUUACCAACCCGAUGCAAACUACGAAUACCGAAGAAUGUUAUCACGGGAGACACACGGCGGGUGCUAACGUCCGUCGUGAAGAGGGAAACAACCCAGACCGCCAGCUAAGGUCCCAAAGUCAUGGUUAAGUGGGAAACGAUGUGGGAAGGCACAGACAGCCAGGAUGUUGGCUUAGAAGCAGCCAUCAUUUAAAGAAAGCGUAAUAGCUCACUGGUCGAGUCGGCCUGCGCGGAAGAUGUAACGGGGCUAAACCAUGCACCGAAGCUGCGGCAGCGACACUAUGUGUUGUUGGGUAGGGGAGCGUUCUGUAAGCCUGCGAAGGUGUGCUGUGAGGCAUGCUGGAGGUAUCAGAAGUGCGAAUGCUGACAUAAGUAACGAUAAAGCGGGUGAAAAGCCCGCUCGCCGGAAGACCAAGGGUUCCUGUCCAACGUUAAUCGGGGCAGGGUGAGUCGACCCCUAAGGCGAGGCCGAAAGGCGUAGUCGAUGGGAAACAGGUUAAUAUUCCUGUACUUGGUGUUACUGCGAAGGGGGGACGGAGAAGGCUAUGUUAGCCGGGCGACGGUUGUCCCGGUUUAAGCAUGUAGGCUGGUUGUCCAGGCAAAUCCGGAUAAUCAAGGCUGAGGUGUGAUGACGAGGCACUACGGUGCUGAAGUAACAAAUGCCCUGCUUCCAGGAAAAGCCUCUAAGCAUCAGGUAACAUCAAAUCGUACCCCAAACCGACACAGGUGGUCAGGUAGAGAAUACCAAGGCGCUUGAGAGAACUCGGGUGAAGGAACUAGGCAAAAUGGUGCCGUAACUUCGGGAGAAGGCACGCUGGUGUGUAGGUGAAGUCCCUGCGGAUGGAGCUGAGACCAGUCGAAGAUACCAGCUGGCUGCAACUGUUUAUUAAAAACACAGCACUGUGCAAACACGAAAGUGGACGUAUACGGUGUGACGCCUGCCCGGUGCCGGAAGGUUAAUUGAUGGGGUUAUCCGUAAGGAGAAGCUCUUGAUCGAAGCCCCGGUAAACGGCGGCCGUAACUAUAACGGUCCUAAGGUAGCGAAAUUCCUUGUCGGGUAAGUUCCGACCUGCACGAAUGGCGUAAUGAUGGCCAGGCUGUCUCCACCCGAGACUCAGUGAAAUUGAACUCGCUGUGAAGAUGCAGUGUACCCGCGGCAAGACGGAAAGACCCCGUGAACCUUUACUAUAGCUUGACACUGAACAUUGAGCCUUGAUGUGUAGGAUAGGUGGGAGGCUUUGAAGCGUGGACGCCAGUCUGCGUGGAGCCAACCUUGAAAUACCACCCUUUAAUGUUUGAUGUUCUAACGUUGGCCCCUGACCGGGGUUGCGGACAGUGUCUGGUGGGUAGUUUGACUGGGGCGGUCUCCUCCCAAAGCGUAACGGAGGAGCACGAAGGUUAGCUAAUCCUGGUCGGACAUCAGGAGGUUAGUGCAAUGGCAUAAGCUAGCUUGACUGCGAGCGUGACGGCGCGAGCAGGUGCGAAAGCAGGUCAUAGUGAUCCGGUGGUUCUGAAUGGAAGGGCCAUCGCUCAACGGAUAAAAGGUACUCCGGGGAUAACAGGCUGAUACCGCCCAAGAGUUCAUAUCGACGGCGGUGUUUGGCACCUCGAUGUCGGCUCAUCACAUCCUGGGGCUGAAGUAGGUCCCAAGGGUAUGGCUGUUCGCCAUUUAAAGUGGUACGCGAGCUGGGUUUAGAACGUCGUGAGACAGUUCGGUCCCUAUCUGCCGUGGGCGCUGGAGAAUUGAGGGGGGCUGCUCCUAGUACGAGAGGACCGGAGUGGACGCAUCACUGGUGUUCGGGUUGUCAUGCCAAUGGCACUGCCCGGUAGCUAAAUGCGGAAGAGAUAAGUGCUGAAAGCAUCUAAGCACGAAACUUGCCCCGAGAUGAGUUCUCCCUGAGACUUUAAGUCUCCUGAAGGAACGUUGAAGACGACGACGUUGAUAGGCCGGGUGUGUAAGCGCAGCGAUGCGUUGAGCUAACCGGUACUAAUGAACCGUGAGGCUUAACCUUACAACGCCGAAG
Molecule: ribosomal RNA, 2923 nt
Filed under: Klebsiella pneumoniae
Lineage: Bacteria; Pseudomonadati; Pseudomonadota; Gammaproteobacteria; Enterobacterales; Enterobacteriaceae
Description: 23S ribosomal RNA
Rfam family: Bacterial large subunit ribosomal RNA
Source: RNAcentral